UUAAGCGACUAAGCGUACACGGUGGAUGCCCUGGCAGUCAGAGGCGAUGAAGGACGUGCUAAUCUGCGAAAAGCGUCGGUAAGGUGAUAUGAACCGUUACAGCCGGCGAUGUCCGAAUGGGGAAACCCAGUGCAAUUCGUUGCACUAUCGUUAACUGAAUACAUAGGUUAACGAGGCGAACCGGGGGAACUGAAACAUCUAAGUACCCCGAGGAAAAGAAAUCAACCGAGAUUCCCCCAGUAGCGGCGAGCGAACGGGGAGCAGCCCAGAGUCUGAAUCAGCUUGUGUGUUAGUGGAACGGUCUGGAAAGUCCGACGGUACAGGGUGAUAGUCCCGUACACCAAAAUGCACAGGCUGUGAACUCGAAGAGUAGGGCGGGACACGUGGUAUCCUGUCUGAAUAUGGGGGGACCAUCCUCCAAGGCUAAAUACUCCUGACUGACCGAUAGUGAACCAGUACCGUGAGGGAAAGGCGAAAAGAACCCCGGCGAGGGGAGUGAAAAAGAACCUGAAACCGUGUACGUACAAGCAGUGGGAGCACCUUCGGGUGUGACUGCGUACCUUUUGUAUAAUGGGUCAGCGACUUAUAUUCUGUAGCAAGGUUAACCGUAUAGGGGAGCCGCAGGGAAACCGAGUCUUAACUGGGCGUUAAGUUGCAGGGUAUAGACCCGAAACCCGGUGAUCUAGCCAUGGGCAGGUUGAAGGUUGGGUAACACUAACUGGAGGACCGAACCGACUAAUGUUGAAAAAUUAGCGGAUGACUUGUGGCUGGGGGUGAAAGGCCAAUCAAACCGGGAGAUAGCUGGUUCUCCCCGAAAGCUAUUUAGGUAGCGCCUCGUGAAUUCAUCUUCGGGGGUAGAGCACUGUUUCGGCUAGGGGGUCAUCCCGACUUACCAACCCGAUGCAAACUACGAAUACCGAAGAAUGUUAUCACGGGAGACACACGGCGGGUGCUAACGUCCGUCGUGAAGAGGGAAACAACCCAGACCGCCAGCUAAGGUCCCAAAGUCAUGGUUAAGUGGGAAACGAUGUGGGAAGGCACAGACAGCCAGGAUGUUGGCUUAGAAGCAGCCAUCAUUUAAAGAAAGCGUAAUAGCUCACUGGUCGAGUCGGCCUGCGCGGAAGAUGUAACGGGGCUAAACCAUGCACCGAAGCUGCGGCAGCGACACUAUGUGUUGUUGGGUAGGGGAGCGUUCUGUAAGCCUGCGAAGGUGACCUGUGAGGGUUGCUGGAGGUAUCAGAAGUGCGAAUGCUGACAUAAGUAACGAUAAAGCGGGUGAAAAGCCCGCUCGCCGGAAGACCAAGGGUUCCUGUCCAACGUUAAUCGGGGCAGGGUGAGUCGACCCCUAAGGCGAGGCCGAAAGGCGUAGUCGAUGGGAAACAGGUUAAUAUUCCUGUACUUGGUGUUACUGCGAAGGGGGGACGGAGAAGGCUAUGUUAGCCGGGCGACGGUUGUCCCGGUUUAAGCAUGUAGGCUGGUUAUCCAGGCAAAUCCGGAUAAUCAAGGCUGAGGUGUGAUGACGAGGCACUACGGUGCUGAAGUAACAAAUGCCCUGCUUCCAGGAAAAGCCUCUAAGCAUCAGGUAACAUCAAAUCGUACCCCAAACCGACACAGGUGGUCAGGUAGAGAAUACCAAGGCGCUUGAGAGAACUCGGGUGAAGGAACUAGGCAAAAUGGUGCCGUAACUUCGGGAGAAGGCACGCUGGUGUGUAGGUGAAGUCCCUGCGGAUGGAGCUGAGACCAGUCGAAGAUACCAGCUGGCUGCAACUGUUUAUUAAAAACACAGCACUGUGCAAACACGAAAGUGGACGUAUACGGUGUGACGCCUGCCCGGUGCCGGAAGGUUAAUUGAUGGGGUUAUCCGUAAGGAGAAGCUCUUGAUCGAAGCCCCGGUAAACGGCGGCCGUAACUAUAACGGUCCUAAGGUAGCGAAAUUCCUUGUCGGGUAAGUUCCGACCUGCACGAAUGGCGUAAUGAUGGCCAGGCUGUCUCCACCCGAGACUCAGUGAAAUUGAACUCGCUGUGAAGAUGCAGUGUACCCGCGGCAAGACGGAAAGACCCCGUGAACCUUUACUAUAGCUUGACACUGAACAUUGAGCCUUGAUGUGUAGGAUAGGUGGGAGGCUUUGAAGCGUGGACGCCAGUCUGCGUGGAGCCAACCUUGAAAUACCACCCUUUAAUGUUUGAUGUUCUAACGUUGGCCCCUUACCGGGGUUGCGGACAGUGUCUGGUGGGUAGUUUGACUGGGGCGGUCUCCUCCCAAAGCGUAACGGAGGAGCACGAAGGUUAGCUAAUCCUGGUCGGACAUCAGGAGGUUAGUGCAAUGGCAUAAGCUAGCUUGACUGCGAGCGUGACGGCGCGAGCAGGUGCGAAAGCAGGUCAUAGUGAUCCGGUGGUUCUGAAUGGAAGGGCCAUCGCUCAACGGAUAAAAGGUACUCCGGGGAUAACAGGCUGAUACCGCCCAAGAGUUCAUAUCGACGGCGGUGUUUGGCACCUCGAUGUCGGCUCAUCACAUCCUGGGGCUGAAGUAGGUCCCAAGGGUAUGGCUGUUCGCCAUUUAAAGUGGUACGCGAGCUGGGUUUAGAACGUCGUGAGACAGUUCGGUCCCUAUCUGCCGUGGGCGCUGGAGAAUUGAGGGGGGCUGCUCCUAGUACGAGAGGACCGGAGUGGACGCAUCACUGGUGUUCGGGUUGUCAUGCCAAUGGCACUGCCCGGUAGCUAAAUGCGGAAGAGAUAAGUGCUGAAAGCAUCUAAGCACGAAACUUGCCCCGAGAUGAGUUCUCCCUGAGACUUUAAGUCUCCUGAAGGAACGUUGAAGACGACGACGUUGAUAGGCCGGGUGUGUAAGCGCAGCGAUGCGUUGAGCUAACCGGUACUAAUGAACCGUGAGGCUUAACCUU
RNAcentral lists this ribosomal RNA (2900 nucleotides) under Klebsiella pneumoniae. RNAcentral describes it as "23S ribosomal RNA". It matches the Rfam family "Bacterial large subunit ribosomal RNA". The record is from RNAcentral. Lineage: Bacteria; Pseudomonadati; Pseudomonadota; Gammaproteobacteria; Enterobacterales; Enterobacteriaceae.